RNAcentral lists this long non-coding RNA (1523 nucleotides) under Marmota monax (woodchuck). Lineage: Eukaryota; Metazoa; Chordata; Mammalia; Rodentia; Sciuridae. The record is from RNAcentral.
AUGUAGAAUAUUAACCUAUUACCUGCCCUUAUAUUCACGCUUGCCAGAACCCUGUCAGCUGUAAACUACCAAGAUAUCCACCUUUGUAACUUUUUGGGGUUAUAAAAACCUCCCUGCUCUUAGACCAGAUGCUGUCCUCUGGUCCUGCAUUUGGGUGAGGCAGUUGCUGAUCAGGUCUCCUGUGUAUACAAUAUAAAAUUGCUUUAAUUUGGUUUAAAAUUGGAGUCAAUGGUCUUUUCUUUUGUCGUGGGUUCAACAGAGAACAGUGAAGCUUAAUUCAUUUCACUCCAGCUCCUGCCGCAAAAUGAGCUUUGUAAAUAAACUGUUUUGGAGUCUUGGGUGUCACUCAGUAGUAGGUCAAUGUGCAUGCAUGAGUCUUGGGUUUGAUGUCCAGCACACUUCAUAUAAACUAUUUUAGAAUCUGGUUUACAUAAAAGUUGGAAAGACAGUAGAGUGCCCAUAUGUCCCAGAAACCCAUCCAAGAGUCCCCAUUGCAGUCAGCUGCCAUGUCCCCUUAGGCUCCUCUUGGCUCUGACCUUCCUUGCUUUGAAUGGCUUCACCGUUUUGAGGAGCAGUGAUCAGGUAUUCCAUAGAGUGGCUCUCAGUUGAAUUUGUCUGAUAUUUUUGUCAUUAUUGGUCUGGGGUAAGGGGUCUUGAGAAGGAAGACCACAGAGGGGAUAUGCGCUUCUCCCGUCACAUGGAGGACAUAUAGGAGCCCCGUGACACAUCACCUUAAUGUUGACCCUGAUCCCUGCAUGAGGUCAUGUGUGUCCAGUUUCUCCUUACUCUCCCUUCCCCCAUCCAUACUGUCUUCUCUGGAAGGAAGUCACUAUUGCUGCUUGCAUAGAAGGUGUUGGGGGUGAUGCUUGCGGGAAGAGCAUCUACAUCAAUUACAAAAUAGUAUGGCAUAUUAAAAUAACUGGGCUGGGGGUGUUGCUCAGUGGUUGAGCACUUGCCUAACAUAUGCAAAGCCCUGGGUUCCAUCCCCAGAAUUCUGAAAGGAAAAUAAUAUAAUAACACUUGUUAGAAAUUUAAAAAGCUUCAGGAGCAUAUAAUUCACAUGCCAUAGAAUUCACCCGUUUGAAGUGAAUAAUUCAAUUUUUAAAAAUUUUUGUUCAACCCCCAUCAUGAUCUUCUUUUUCAAUAUUUUUAUCUCCCCUUAAAGAAGCCCCAAACCCAUUAGCGCUCACUCCCCAUUCCUUGCCUCUAAUGCCUCUCCAGGGUUUGGAAACCACUAAUCUAUUUUCCAUCCCUAUGAAUUUGGACAUUGCUUACAAGUGGGAUCAUUCAAUAUGUGAAUGUGUGUCUGGUUUCUUUCACUCAGCAUCUUGUUUUCCCAUUUCAUUCAUGUUGGAGUGUGUGUCAGUCUGUCCUUCCUUNCAUCUUUACUUUAUUUUGAUGUGGUGCUGAGGAUCGAACCCAGCGCCCCGCGCAUGCCAGGCGAGCGCGUUACCGCUUGAGCCACCUCCCCAGCCCAAAUGGCUGAAUAUUAACCCAUUGCGUGGCUGUGGCAUGUUUUAUCC